GCCGGCGUAGCUCAGCUGGCAGAGCAGCUGACUUGUAAUCAGCAGGUCGUCCGUUCGAAUCGGAUCGCCGGCU
Non-coding RNA from Synergistales bacterium 53_16, 73 nucleotides. The record is from Rfam. Lineage: Bacteria; Thermotogati; Synergistota; Synergistia; Synergistales.